Molecule: ribosomal RNA, 3077 nt
Filed under: Candidatus Aquirickettsiella gammari
Lineage: Bacteria; Pseudomonadati; Pseudomonadota; Gammaproteobacteria; Legionellales; Coxiellaceae
Description: bacterial LSU rRNA
Rfam family: Bacterial large subunit ribosomal RNA
Source: RNAcentral
GAUCAAGUUACUAAGCGCAGAAGGUGGAUGCCUUGGCAGUCGAAGGCGAAGAAAGACGUGGAAGCCUGCGAAAAGCUUCGGGGAGCUGGCAAACAAGCUUUGAUCCGGAGAUAUCUGAAUGGGGAAACCCGGCUUAUUUUAUAUAGGUCAUUGUUAACUGAAUACAUAGGUUAACAAAGCGAACCGAGGGAACUGAAACAUCUAAGUACCUCGAGGAAAAGAAAUCAAAUGAGAUUCUGCAAGUAGCGGCGAGCGAACGUGGAAAAGCCUUCACGAGCUAGUCAAUGAGUUAGCCAAAAGGACUGGAAAGUCCUGCCAUAGAGGGUGAAAGCCCCGUCGGCAAAAACUUAUUGGUGAGACUAAGCGUGAAACCAAGUAGGGCGGGACACGAGAAAUCCUGUUUGAAGAUGGGGGGACCAUCCUCCAAGGCUAAAUACUCUCGACUGACCGAUAGUGAACCAGUACCGUGAGGGAAAGGCGAAAAGAACCCCGGCGAGGGGAGUGAAAUAGAACCUGAAACCGUCUGCGUACAAGCAGUAGGAGUCCCGCACUUAAAUCAUUUUGAGAAAGAUAAUGCAUUAUGUAUAGUUAUUGCAAAAUCUAGCGGAUAAAGAAAGUUUAAAGUGAUUUAAGUGCGGGAUGACUGCGUACCUUUUGUAUAAUGGGUCAGCGAGUGACUUUUAGUGGCAAGCUUAACCGAAUAGGGAAGGCGAAGGGAAACCGAGUCUGAAAAAGGCGUUGAGUCGCUAGGAGUCGACCCGAAACCGAGCGAGCUAGCCAUGUCCAGGGUGAAGCUUGGGUAACACUAAGUGGAGGCCCGAACCCACAUCUGUUGCAAAAGAUGGGGAUGAGGUGUGGCUAGGAGUGAAAGGCUAAACAAGCUCGGAGAUAGCUGGUUCUCCUCGAAAGCUAUUGAGGUAGCGCCUCGUGUUAACGACUAGGGGGUAGAGCACUGUUUCGGUAAGGGGGUCAUCCCGACUUACUGAGCCGAUGCAAACUUCGAAUACCUAGUUCGUGAUGCACGGGAGACACACGGCGGGUGCUAACGUCCGUCGUGAAAAGGGAAACAACCCAGAUCACCUGCUAAAGUCCCAAAAGUUAGGUUAAGUGUGAAACGUAGUGGAAAGGUUUAAACAGCCAGGAGGUUGGCUUAGAAGCAGCCAUCCUUUAAAGAAAGCGUAAUAGCUCACUGGUCGAAUCGGUCUGCGCGGAAGAAUGAACGGGGCUCAAACCUAAUACUGAAGCAGUGAAUGCGAUAGAUUGAAAGAUUUAUUGCGUGGUAGAGGAGCGUUCGGUAAGCCGUUGAAGGUGACCUGUAAAGGUUGCUGGAGGUAUCCGAAGUGCGAAUGCUGACAUGAGUAACGAUAAUGCGGGUGAAAACCCCGCACGCCGAAAGUCCCAGGAUUCCUGCGCAACGGUAAUCGACGCAGGGUGAGUCGGCCCCUAAGGCGAGGCGGAAACGCGUAGUCGAUGGGAAACAGGUUAAAAUUCCUGUACUUCGACAGACUGUGAUGGGAGGACGAAGAAGGCUAAGUGAGCCGGAGACUGGUAGUUCCGGUUUAAGCGAGUAGAGAGAGAUUCUAGGAAAAUCCGGAGUCUUGUUAAUCUCGAGACGUGAUGACGAGUUAUUAACCUCGGUUAAUGAUGAAGUGACUGAUGCCCUGCUUCCAGGAAAACUCUCUAAACUUCAGGUCUGUAGGAACCGUACCGCAAACCGACACAGGUGGACAGGUAGAGAAUACUAAGGCGAUGAGACAACUUGGGUGAAGGAACUAGGCAAAUUAGCACCGUAACUUCGGGAGAAGGUGCACCUUUUUUGGUGAGUGGGUAUACCCCACAAGCUGAGGGAGGUUGAAAUGAUCAGGUGGUUGCGACUGUUUAUCAAAAACACAGCACUCUGCGAACUCGAAAGAGGAAGUAUAGGGUGUGACGCCUGCCCGGUGCCGGAAGGUUAAUUGAAGCGGUUAACUUGCGCUGAGAUGGCUUUUGAAAACGAAUUAGAAAGAAUAAUAAUUCGAAAAUAAAAAUCAAAAGUCAUGUCAGCGCAGGUGAAGCUGUGGAUCGAAGCCCCGGUAAACGGCGGCCGUAACUAUAACGGUCCUAAGGUAGCGAAAUUCCUUGUCGGGUAAGUUCCGACCUGCACGAAUGGCGUAACGACAGCCACACUGUCUCCACCCAAGGCUCAGUGAAAUUGAAAUCGCUGUGAAGAUGCAGCGUACCCGCGGCAAGACGGAAAGACCCCGUGCACCUUUACUACAGCUUUACACUGGACUUUGAAUUUAACUGUGCAGAAUAGGUGGGAGGCAUUGAAUUGAGUUCGCUAGGACUCGAGGAGCCACCGGUGAGAUACCACCCUGUUAAAGUUAAAGUUCUAACCUAGGGCCCUGAACGGGUUUGGGGACAGUGUAUGGUGGGUAGUUUGACUGGGGCGGUCUCCUCCUAAAGAGUAACGGAGGAGCACGAAGGUACCCUCAGCGCGGUCGGACAUCGCGCAUAGCGUGUAAUGGCACAAGGGUGCUUGACUGCGAGACAAACACGUCGAGCAGGUGCGAAAGCAGGUCAUAGUGAUCCGGUGGUUCCGAAUGGAAGGGCCAUCGCUUAACGAAUAAAAGGUACGCCGGGGAUAACAGGCUGAUACCGCCCAAGAGUUCAUAUCGACGGCGGUGUUUGGCACCUCGAUGUCGGCUCAUCACAUCCUGGGGCUGAAGCAGGUCCCAAGGGUAUGGCUGUUCGCCAUUUAAAGUGGUACGCGAGCUGGGUUCAGAACGUCGUGAGACAGUUCGGUCCCUAUCUGCCGUGGGCGCUGGAGAUUUGAGAGGAGCUACGCCUAGUACGAGAGGACCGGCGUGGAGGUACCGCUGGUGGUCCGGUUGUUUCGCCAGAAGCAUAGCCGGGUAGCUACGUACCGACGGGAUAACCGCUGAAAGCAUCUAAGCGGGAAGCCCCCCUCAAGAUGAGAUCUCCCGAGGAUUAAAUCCUCCUAAAGGUCCGUUGAAGACGACGACGUAGAUAGGUGGGGUGUGUAAGUGCAGUAAUGUAUUGAGCUAACCCAUACUAAUUGACCGUGAGGCUUGAUU